GAAACGUCAAAACAAUCGAACUGAAAAGUUUACAAAUAUAAUUUUUUGCAAAUAGUCUUUUGGUUUCGAUUUCGUUUGACUGAUAAAAAGUGAAUUUUUUAAAUAUAAAUUGUACGGUCUACAAUGAGCGAUACCGACUUCAUAGAUAUAAGCAAAUUAGAAGGUUUUUUAUCGUUUUUAGGCACUAUUGACUGGAGGGACCCAUGGCUCAUCGGUCUCUUUGCAUUUCAUCUCUCCGUCUUCAUGAUGGCAAUUUUAACUAGAAAUUAUGGAAAUUUCCAGGCUGUACUGUUUUUUAUCCUUCUGCUCUUAGUGUACUUUUCCGAAAACAUUAACACCUUAGCAUCAACGAACUGGCACAUAUUUUCUAGACAACAAUACUUUGAUAGCAAUGGUCUGUUCAUAUCAGUGGUGUUUUCUAUGCCUAUUUUAAUUAAUUGCAUGUUGAUGGUGGGCAACUGGCUGUAUCAGUCCACACAACUGAUGGCAACCUUGAAACAGGCGCAGCUUAAAGAGAGACUGAAGAAGGAAAAAAUCAACAGGGAAAAAUCUAAAAACGACUAGCAAUAGCUAAUACGAUUCUGCUUUGAGACUUGACUUGUUACCAUAUUAAUUUUAAGUUUAUAAUAUUGUUGGUUACCAGCUUUAAAUUAGUGCCAACAAGGAUAUGCCUUCUAUACAUCACAUGCCUCUAUUUGUAUAUACUGUUUGCUGAUUUAGUAAGUUAAAGGGUAAAGAUAGAUUUUAUUGUGAUAUUUGUACUUUUUCUUAUUGCUUAAUGCUAAUACUAGUUUGUUUUAUGUAUAUUAAUAUAGGACUGGUGUUUAAAUAUAAACAAGUGAUGAUUA
This 848-nucleotide unclassified non-coding RNA is filed under the name Anthonomus grandis grandis. RNAcentral describes it as "transmembrane protein 18". The record is from RNAcentral. Lineage: Eukaryota; Metazoa; Arthropoda; Insecta; Coleoptera; Curculionidae.